GGGGAAACCUCAUCAGCAGUUCAGCAGGAUGUCUCAGAGAAAGAGGAGCUUCACAUUUGGAGCUUAUGGAGGAGUUGACAAGAGCUUCUCCAGGACCAGAACCUCAUGGAAACAAGAUGGAAGGAUUUCUCAAAUAUCUGAUGCAGCAGAGCGGAUACUAGCCCACUCCCACCCUCAGGUUCCUCUGUCCUCACUUU
Nematolebias whitei (Rio pearlfish) is the source of this 197-nucleotide long non-coding RNA. RefSeq lists it as uncharacterized. The transcript has 3 exons. The record is from RefSeq and is a predicted model, not a curated record. Lineage: Eukaryota; Metazoa; Chordata; Actinopteri; Cyprinodontiformes; Rivulidae.